CUGGGAAACUGGGUCUAAUACCGGAUAUGACUCCUCAUCGCAUGGUGGGGGGUGGAAAGCUUUUUUGUGGUUUUGGAUGGACUCGCGGCCUAUCAGCUUGUUGGUGAGGUAAUGGCUCACCAAGGCGACGACGGGUAGCCGGCCUGAGAGGGUGACCGGCCACACUGGGACUGAGACACGGCCCAGACUCCUACGGGAGGCAGCAGUGGGGAAUAUUGCACAAUGGGCGCAAGCCUGAUGCAGCGACGCCGCGUGAGGGAUGACGGCCUUCGGGUUGUAAACCUCUUUCAGUAGGGAAGAAGCGAAAGUGACGGUACCUGCAGAAGAAGCGCCGGCUAACUACGUGCCAGCAGCCGCGGUAAUACGUAGGGCGCAAGCGUUAUCCGGAAUUAUUGGGCGUAAAGAGCUCGUAGGCGGUUUGUCGCGUCUGCCGUGAAAGUCCGGGGCUCAACUCCGGAUCUGCGGUGGGUACGGGCAGACUAGAGUGAUGUAGGGGAGACUGGAAUUCCUGGUGUAGCGGUGAAAUGCGCAGAUAUCAGAGGAACACCGAUGGCGAAGGCAGGGUCUCUGGGCAUUAACUGACGCUGAGGAGCGAAAGCAUGGGGGAGCGAACAGGAUUAGAUACCCUGGUAGUCCAUGCCGUAAACGUUGGGCACUAGGUGUGGGGGACAUUCCACGUUUUCCGCGCC
Molecule: ribosomal RNA, 689 nt
Filed under: Arthrobacter sp.
Lineage: Bacteria; Bacillati; Actinomycetota; Actinomycetes; Micrococcales; Micrococcaceae
Description: bacterial SSU rRNA
Rfam family: Bacterial small subunit ribosomal RNA
Source: RNAcentral